GACGAACGCUUGCGGCGUGCUUAACACAUGCAAGUCGAACGGAAAGGCCCUGCUUUUGUGGGGUGCUCGAGUGGCGAACGGGUGAGUAACACGUGAGUAACCUGCCCUUGACUUUGGGAUAACUUCAGGAAACUGGGGCUAAUACCGGAUAGGAGCUCCUGCUGCAUGGUGGGGGUUGGAAAGUUUCGGCGGUUGGGGAUGGACUCGCGGCUUAUCAGCUUGUUGGUGGGGUAGUGGCUUACCAAGGCUUUGACGGGUAGCCGGCCUGAGAGGGUGACCGGCCACAUUGGGACUGAGAUACGGCCCAGACUCCUACGGGAGGCAGCAGUGGGGAAUAUUGCACAAUGGGCGGAAGCCUGAUGCAGCAACGCCGCGUGCGGGAUGACGGCCUUCGGGUUGUAAACCGCUUUCGCCUGUGACGAAGCGUGAGUGACGGUAAUGGGUAAAGAAGCACCGGCUAACUACGUGCCAGCAGCCGCGGUGAUACGUAGGGUGCGAGCGUUGUCCGGAUUUAUUGGGCGUAAAGGGCUCGUAGGUGGUUGAUCGCGUCGGAAGUGUAAUCUUGGGGCUUAACCCUGAGCGUGCUUUCGAUACGGGUUGACUUGAGGAAGGUAGGGGAGAAUGGAAUUCCUGGUGGAGCGGUGGAAUGCGCAGAUAUCAGGAGGAACACCAGUGGCGAAGGCGGUUCUCUGGGCCUUUCCUGACGCUGAGGAGCGAAAGCGUGGGGAGCGAACAGGCUUAGAUACCCUGGUAGUCCACGCUGUAAACGGUGGGUACUAGGUGUGGGGUCCAUUCCACGGGUUCCGUGCCGUAGCUAACGCUUUAAGUACCCCGCCUGGGGAGUACGGCCGCAAGGCUAAAACUCAAAGGAAUUGACGGGGCCCCGCACAAGCGGCGGAGCAUGCGGAUUAAUUCGAUGCAACGCGUAGAACCUUACCUGGGUUUGACAUGGAUCGGGAGUGCUCAGAGAUGGGUGUGCCUCUUUUGGGGUCGGUUCACAGGUGGUGCAUGGCUGUCGUCAGCUCGUGUCGUGAGAUGUUGGGUUAAGUCCCGCAACGAGCGCAACCCUUGUUCACUGUUGCCAGCACGUUAUGGUGGGGACUCAGUGGAGACCGCCGGGGUCAACUCGGAGGAAGGUGGGGAUGACGUCAAGUCAUCAUGCCCCUUAUGUCCAGGGCUUCACGCAUGCUACAAUGGCUGGUACAGAGAGUGGCGAGCCUGUGAGGGUGAGCGAAUCUCGGAAAUCCGGUCUCAGUUCGGAUUGGGGUCUGCAACUCGACCUCAUGAAGUCGGAGUCGCUAGUAAUCGCAGAUCAGCAACGCUGCGGUGAAUACGUUCCCGGGGCU
This 1346-nucleotide ribosomal RNA is filed under the name uncultured bacterium. Its description in RNAcentral is "partial 16S ribosomal RNA". It matches the Rfam family "Bacterial small subunit ribosomal RNA", at positions 28 to 1381 of the family's 1533-position model. The record is from RNAcentral.